RNAcentral lists this ribosomal RNA (446 nucleotides) under Meloidogyne graminicola. RNAcentral's name for it is "partial large subunit ribosomal RNA". It matches the Rfam family "Eukaryotic large subunit ribosomal RNA", at positions 363 to 682 of the family's 3401-position model. Lineage: Eukaryota; Metazoa; Nematoda; Chromadorea; Rhabditida; Meloidogynidae. The record is from RNAcentral.
GUUGCAAAGCACUUUGAAGGGAGAGUUAAGGAGGACGUGAAACCGGUGAGGUGGAAACGGAUAGAGUCGGCGUAUCUUGCAAGUAUUCAUUUACAUUUAGUUGUAUUUUUUAGCUUUGAGCUCCAGAUUGGGACAGAGUUGAAUUAUAUGAUUAUUUGUGAUGCAUUUACUUGCUUGGUGCGUGGGGAUUUCUGAGACAGAUUUGUGCCCUACGUUUUGAGGCCAGCUUGCUGGUACCCGAAUUUGGUUAGCAAUUUUUGUUUUAGUUGUAAAAAAAGUAUGGCUUACGGACUUUAUAUGGAUUGAUUUGGUUGUAAGUUACGGUCGCAUGCGACACGUGCUUUUCAAUCUUUUCGGUCUGUGUAAUGUUCUCAUACUUAUUCCCCAUGUAAAAGCCGGUCAUCUAUCCGACCCGUCUUGAAACACGGACCAAGGAGUUUAUCGUG